This 160-nucleotide ribosomal RNA is filed under the name uncultured anaerobic bacterium. RNAcentral describes it as "partial 16S ribosomal RNA". It matches the Rfam family "Bacterial small subunit ribosomal RNA", at positions 354 to 530 of the family's 1533-position model. The record is from RNAcentral.
UGUGGGAAUAUUGCACAAUAGGGGGAAAGCCUGAUGCAGCAACGCCGCGUGAGUGAUGAAGGUCUUCGGGUUGUAAAGCUCUGUCUUCUGGGACGAAAAUGACCGGACCCGAGGGGGAAGGCCCCGGUAAUUACUUGCCAGCACCCGCGGUAAUGCGUAG